Molecule: long non-coding RNA, 924 nt
Filed under: Oryctolagus cuniculus (rabbit)
Lineage: Eukaryota; Metazoa; Chordata; Mammalia; Lagomorpha; Leporidae
Description: lncRNA (ENSOCUG00000029809.1)
Source: RNAcentral
AUGGCGGAGAGGGAGCGGGAGCAGGCCGGGUGGGGUGGGGGGGUGGAGUGGGGCGGGGGUGCCGCAGGGCCGAAUCCCGCCCGGGCUCUGGGCGCGGUGGGCAGAUUUCUCGUGCUUCCUCUUUCUAGGGGCAGGGAUUGUGGGUUUCGGCGGGGUGGUCCCCACACUUGUACGCCAGGUAACGCGCCGACACACCUGAAGAGACCUGUGAAGAUGCCUCAGAUGGAGGCCGCACCUCUCAGGGCAGCACCCCCCAACGGCCUUUUAGGCGGAAGUGGGGGUGGCCACUUCCGGCCACGCCCUCUGGCCCCUCCCCAGGGCGGACAGGGCGGUGCUCUGGGCCGCAAUUCCUUCCUUCCUUCCUUCCUUCCGGGGAGGGAAGUGUGGAGCGGUUCCGGGUUCCGGGUUCCGGGUUCCGGGUUCCGGGUUCUGGGUUCCGGGAUCCGGGUUCCGGGUUCCGGGUUCCGGGUUUGGGGUUCAGGGUCUCAGGUGGGGCGUGGUCCCAGAGAAUUCCAAGCAUGCUUUUGUUGUCAGGCAGCUGGGCCCCAGGCUCCUCUCACAGCUCCAGUGGAGCCCGAGCCCUGCGGUGACGUGUGGGUCCUCCCGAGGCUGAUGGGGGAGGUGUGCGGCUUUGUGGGGUCCAUCUUCGGGUGUGGAUGGUACCCUCGGUUCUCUCGCACUGUAUCAUCUGGACUCCUCGUCGUGGGGGAGCCCCACUUCUCUGCUGACGGGAGACCAGGCCUCGACCCACGACCUCCAGUACCUGAGCCACCUGCUGUGGAGUGCAGGUGCACCUCAUGUGACCACCGCUCCCUGGGGCCUCCAGACCUGGCUGCUCUGGAUGGUGAGAUGGUGAACAACUUCCUCUCUGCCAACUGGAGACCAACACCUACCAGCAAAAAUACAUCUGCCCUUUGGCCCUGA